RNAcentral lists this long non-coding RNA (5409 nucleotides) under Nicotiana tabacum (common tobacco). Its description in RNAcentral is "long non-coding RNA (NTAB_LNC002773)". Lineage: Eukaryota; Viridiplantae; Streptophyta; Magnoliopsida; Solanales; Solanaceae. The record is from RNAcentral.
CGGGUCAAUCAAAUCAUUGAUCAAUUAAUGAGGGUCAAACGUCUAUUUCAAAGACAUUUUUGAAUCCUCUCCUCGUACAAGUAGGUCCAAAAACAAAAUUUAGAAAUCGUUAAAAAUAUGCAGAACUCCAGAAUCAAAGUCCACUGAAAUUUCUUAUUUGUAUAUGUCAUCGACUACCAUCUGUCAAACAAUAUGACUUUGAUGCCUAGCGGCAACACGGAUCUUAUGUUCUUUAGAUGCCCAUGAUAUCAAAACAGACCAGGUAGAAGACUCAAAAACCACAGUCAGAGAUACUCGAACUGGGGUUAAAUCAUCCGUCUUUCCAUGGAAAUAUUUCAUCCGCAGCUGACAUGCUCACUUGGUAUGAAGCUGAUCUCUGCCUUCUAAUGCGCAAAUCUUCUUCAAAUGUACCUGGAAUAAGAGCAUAUACAUAUCUAAGAUCAUAGCUAUAAGUUCAUUUUUCACAUAACUGCAAGGAGAUGACGCACAUACAAUUGAUUAGCAUUAAAUUAUGACGGCUUCCAUGUUUAGCCCAACAAAUAAACUGAACCAUAUGCAUGUGCUCGUGAUCGGUGAUUCAAGAAUAAAAGGCAAUCAAAAAGUGGAGCAAAGGGAGUACAUUUUACCUCUUCAAUCACUUUUUAAUUGAUUUUGUGGCUGUGAGAAAAACUCUUUGGCAUUAUUUGCCACUUCUGCCUCCAGUAUCGCUUCUAACACAAUGUCAGACCCUUUUGCUUCAUCUUUUGGGAAAAAAGAAAAUAAUUAACACAACAAAGGAAGAAAUUUCACAACAAACUGUUGUACGCGCACAGGGCGUAGAUAGGAGAUUGGAGUUGAUUCUCAAAAAAAUCCACCCUUCGUUUGCAGCUACGAAACAUGUAAAUAUUUAAACCUAUUUUUUCAUCGAGCCCGUCUAGAUCUAUAAGGUACUUCUUGGUCGAGUGGGUUUUGGGAGGGAAAUUGCAAGCCUAAUUCUUUUUCUUUCUAGGAAAUCCAAUAUCAAGUUAAUGUAGGAUAAAAUUUUCAUAACUAGCAUCGGCAAAAAAUGCAAGAUGAUUUCUUUCGAUCUGUCUAAGCCUUAGUGGUCCUGAGUUAUUUGGAACGGCUCUUUCUCUCUCUUCAAGUCUCUCUCUCCCCGCUAGUGCUCUCUCUUCUGCCUUCUGAUUUUUCGGCGCCGGCAACCUCAAGUAAGCCAGCCUCUCUCUCCCACUCUUCUCCCUCCUUCCUCUCUCCCUCCCCCCCUCCCCCCCCCCCCCCGCUCUCUACUCCACCCCUUUACUCUCUUUUCUCUACCCCUUCUCUCUCUUUUCUCUGUUUCAACGCCGGAAUUUCUGGUCGGCGACCUCCUAGCGCCUCUCCUCUGUCUUUCUUCUCUUCUCCUCACUCCUUUCUUCUCUUUUAUCCCCAUAAACCCGUCUCUCUUUCCCUGCUGAUCGUUUUCCCCAACCCUUCUUGAGCCCAAAUUUCAGUUCUGAAACCCUAGCUGCCCCGCCGGCGACCCCCCCCCCCCUUGGUGUCCCUCCCUUUUCGACUCUGUCCAAGGGUGGACAGGUUGACAGCCCCCCUCCCUAUUGGUUUCGUGGUGGUUGUGUGUAUUUUUUUAGGGAACUAGUUGCGGUUGCCCAGGAAAGCGCGAGCAUACGGGAGAGUAGAGCGUAGCAUCACCGGCUAGUAUGUGCAAAGGUUGGCAGGAGUUGGAAGGAUGCACGACAGAUUUCUGUGACCUCGGGUGCAUCGUCAUAUUUCCAGGUUCUUUCCAUCGGGAGUUGGUACCUCCCGCUUUCUUGUCUCUUUCUUUGUGUUAGUUAAAUUGGAGCUAUUUAGUUAGCAUCACUUUAAGCAUAUUAUUAGAGUACUUGUAGUUGCUACCUAUUAUUUUCUAGUUUGGGUCUGUGCUAGUGUUUUCCAGAGUUUGUCGUAGGUAUAGUGGUUGUGGUCUGGGAUGGUAGAGUAAGGUCAUGUCCUCGAGGGGUGUCGGGGGUGAGAAGGGGGUGGGGAGGGGGUCAGUGGAUGGGAUGAGAGGCAAUGAGGGUAAGGGGAAAGAGGGAGCUUGUAGAUUGAGGAUCGGGUCGUGGAACAUAGGCACGCUGACGGGUAAGUCUAUUGAGUUGACAAAGAUUCUCCAAAAGAGGAAGGUUAAUAUAGUUUGUGUCCAGGAGACUAGGUGGGUAGGGUCGAAGGCGAAGAAUACAAACGGGUAUAAGUUGUGGUACUCUAGAGUCAUGAUGGGUAAGAAUGGAGUGGGUAUCUUAGUGGAUAGGGAUCUUAGAGAGACUGUGGUUGAGGUUAGGCGAGUGAAUGAUAGGCUAAUAUUUAUUAAGUUGGUGAUUGGUGAGUGCACCCUAAUGUAUUUAGCGCUUACGCGCCGCAAGCGGGCUUCGAUGAGGAGGUUAAGAGGCGCUUUUGGGAGGGUUUGGACGAGAUUGUGCAUAGUAUUCCACCUACUAAAAGGUUAUUUAUUGGAGGGGAUUUUAAUGGCCAUAUUGGGUCGGCUGCUGGUAGUUAUGGCGAGGUGCAUGGUGGCUUUGGCCUUGGGGAUAGUAACGGAGGAGGUACUUCGCUGCUACACUUCGCUAAGGCUUUCGAACUGGUGAUUGCGAACUCGACUUUUCCGAAGAGGGAGGAGCAUCUGGUUACUUUUCAAAGUUCGGCGGUGAAGACUCAGAUUGAUUACAUUCUCCUCAUAGGGUGUGAUAUAGGGUUGUGCAAGGAUUGCAAAGUUAUCCCGAGAGCAGAGGCGGACCCAUGAUUUAAGCCUUACGGGGGCACCAUUGUUUUUAGUAUGCCAAUCACCAACAAUAAAGUUCGGGUGUAACUCUUUGAAAUGACUAUGAUAAUUUAUCAUCAAAAUAAAAAUAUCAAUAUUAUCAAAUAUCAUUAACUUGAUACUAAUAUAACAAAAGUAUAUUGUCCACUCAUAGUGGAACUCGACGCGUUUUCAAACGGUCAAUAAUAGCAUCAUUGCUUAUAUUUACAAACACUUCCUUCUCAAAGUAACAAACUAAACAAUCAUUUAAAAAUGCAUCACCAAUACUACCACACAAUUCAUCUUUGAUGUACUUCAUAGAUGAGAAUGUUCUUUCCACCGUUGCAGUUGCGACAGGUAAAAUUAAAGUCAACUUCACAAGCAAAUAAACAAGUGAAUAAAUCUCCACAAGAUUUGUCUCAACCAAUGCUUUCGCCAAAUCACCAAUUCCUUUCAAAUCAGAUAACCUAGGGUCACCAUGUUGCAUAUGUCAUAUGAAAGUGUCAAGUUGGUGACUGAGAUCUCGAAGCUUCAAUUCACCAAACUCAUCGGGAUAAUGCUUGGCCAAUGUCAUUAUUCUUUACUUAUCAAAAUUAGCAAAUGAGUUAGCCGGAUUCAAGCUAGCCAUACCAAGAAGCAGGUUACUACUCACAACAUCAAAACGACUUUUAAGCUCCAGAAGUUACAAAUCAAUCACGGCAUAAAAAAGCUCAACACGUAAGUGAUUGAAUAAGUAACACUAGAAGGCCUACAUUUCGACUUUCCAGGAAUAUAGAAUUCUUCCAUCUUGGGCACCAAAAUAUCAUGUUUUGCACAAAAUAAAUAUACUCCAUCCAUCAAUGGUUCUCAUCCUUUAUCUCUCAUUUCUUGCAACCUUCCCUUUGUGAUAUCAAGAAAUACCAUGGCAUUGACAAUAUCUUGAUCUUUCUUCUGUAAUGCUUUGCUCAACUUAUUUGACAUUAUCAACACUUUCAACAUUAAGUGAAGCAAGAAAACAAAUUCAAAUGCUUUAAUUUUACUCGAACAAUCUUUUGCUUGCAACCUAUCAUUAACAUCCCCUUCACAUUCAAUCACCCCAAGCACAUGAACAAUAGAAGAAAAUAAAAUAACAAAGUUAUCCAAUGUUUUACAAUGUGAUCCCCAACGAGUGUCACCUGGCCUUUGAAGUCCCCGCUCUUGAUUUAAUCCUUUCCUACUUUGAACUUCACCACUCUCUAACAAUUGAUCCAACAAUUCUACUUGAUGAUCCCGAAGUUGAUCUCUACGCUUAAAAGAAACUCCAAUUAUAUUCAACACGUUAGUAACAAUAGCAAAGAAAGUCUCAACCUCCUUGUAUUUUUUAGCAACAGCUACAAGCGUCAAUUGUAAUUGACGUGCAAAACAAUGAACAGAAUAUGCCCAUGGAGUUUCUUGCAAAAUUAAAGCUUUAAGGCCAUUCAUCUUUCCCUACAUAUUACUAGCCCCAUCAUAGCCUUGUCCACGUAUUUUGGAUGGACUUAAUGAGUGUUUCAUUAGCAAAGAAAGUACUGCUUCUUUCAACGACUUUGCAGAUGUAUUACUAACACGAACAAGACUAAUAAAUGGCUCGUUCACUUGGCCUUUUUUGUCAACAUACCGCAAAGCAAGGGCCAUUUGUUCAUGGUGUGAAAUACCCUUGGACUCAUCAACUAAUAUCCCAAAAUAAUCUCCAUCCAAGUCAUCAAUUAUAGCUUUCACAGUCUCUUGUGCACAAGCACUCACAAAAUCCUUUUGAAUUUUUAGCGAAGUCAUCAUAUCAUUUUUUGGAGCAUGUUUUAAUAUAACUCUAUCUACAUCUGGAAGCCUAUUUCCAAGUCAUUCCAAAAACCCUAGAAAAAGGCCUUUAUUUUUUGAAGAUUCACUUUCAUCGUGACCACGAAAAGACAAUCCAAAGUCCAAGAGAAAUCUUGCAACAUCAAUUGAGGCAUUUAAAUGAAUUCGAUAUUCAGUUUUUUUGUUGAUCGGAUUGCUUUUCAAAAGCAGCUUGAAUUGAUUGAGAUUGAUUUGACAAGUCUAGCAUAUUGUUGAAGCACUUAUGGUGGAGAUUACUUACUUCACCAACAUGUAGACCAAAUCUUUCGGUUGCUUUAUUCCAAGCCUUAAAGCCGGUUUUUGUGAAAGAGUCACAUGUGCUUUCAUUAACGUAAUCAUUUUUGAAUAAAUAACAACAUAAACAAAAUGCGGCAUCUUUCUUCACACUAUACUCUAACCAUCUAGAAUACGAACCUUUAAACCAACCCGAACUAAAUUGGCACAUUUUCUUCCUAAAUAAAGUUUUAGGAAAUUUGUGAUCUGGUUGGCAGGGCCCUCUUUGGAUGUAGUGUCUUCUCACUUCAUCUCGUAUUCUAGGGCUAUAUCUAUCAAUGGAUAUUCUCUCUCCGGGAUCGAUAUUAAGUGAUUUCACAUCAAACUCUUCUACAAGAUGAGAGGAAUUGUCUCUACAACUAGAACUUGGUUGAGAAGAAUUAAACCUCGUCAAAAAUAUGUCCAUCUCAAUUCACAUCAAGAGAACUUCCUACAAAGCAACAAUGCCAAGCAAAACAAUAUUUUUAAUAUGAUUAAUCACACUCCUUAUUUUAUUAUAAGUCAUAACUAUAUUAUUAUUAUUUUAUUAAAGAUAGAAGAAUCACUUACCAAUUUCUGAA